GAUGAACGCUGGCGGCGUGCCUAAUACAUGCGAGUCGAGCGAACGGACGAGAAGCUUGCUUCUCUGAUGUUAGCGGCGGACGGGUGAGUAACACGUGGAUAACCUACCUAUAAUACUGGGAUAACUUCGGGAAACCGGAGCUAAUACCGGAUGAUAUUUUGAACCGCAUGGUUCAAAAGUGAAAGACGGUCUUGCUGUCACUUAUAGAUGGAUCCGCGCUGCAUUAGCUAGUUGGUAAGGUAACGGCUUACCAAGGCAACGAUGCAUAGCCGACCUGAGAGGGUGAUCGGCCACACUGGAACUGAGACGCGGUCCAGACUCCUACGGGAGGCAGCAGUAGGGAAUCUUCCGCAAUGGGCGAAAGCCUGACGGAGCAACGCCGCGUGAGUGAUGAAGGUCUUCGGAUCGUAAAACUCUGUUAUUAGGGAAGAACAUAUGUGUAAGUAACUGUGCACAUCUUGACGGUACCUAAUCAGAAAGCCACGGCUAACUACGUG
This 497-nucleotide ribosomal RNA is filed under the name uncultured bacterium. Its description in RNAcentral is "partial 16S ribosomal RNA". It matches the Rfam family "Bacterial small subunit ribosomal RNA", at positions 28 to 507 of the family's 1533-position model. The record is from RNAcentral.